This is a long non-coding RNA of Gavialis gangeticus (Gharial), 109 nucleotides long. RefSeq lists it as uncharacterized. Lineage: Eukaryota; Metazoa; Chordata; Crocodylia; Gavialidae. The transcript has 4 exons. The record is from RefSeq and is a predicted model, not a curated record.
AAAAUGUCUUAAGUUGAAAUGUUGUAACUCAGAACCUAUUCUCCCAUAGGAAACAAUGUUGUAAAUGGGGGAUUGGUUCCUGAACUAAGGCCCAAUACCCUAUUUUCAC